CGCUGGCGGCAUGCCUUACACAUGCAAGUCGAACGGCAGCGCGGGGCAACCUGGCGGCGAGUGGCGAACGGGUGAGUAAUAUAUCGGAACGUACCCUGGAGUGGGGGAUAACGUAGCGAAAGUUACGCUAAUACCGCAUACGAUCUAAGGAUGAAAGUGGGGGAUCGCAAGACCUCAUGCUCCUGGAGCGGCCGAUAUCUGAUUAGCUAGUUGGUAGGGUAAAAGCCUACCAAGGCAUCGAUCAGUAGCUGGUCUGAGAGGACGACCAGCCACACUGGAACUGAGACACGGUCCAGACUCCUACGGGAGGCAGCAGUGGGGAAUUUUGGACAAUGGGCGCAAGCCUGAUCCAGCAAUGCCGCGUGAGUGAAGAAGGCCUUCGGGUUGUAAAGCUCUAUUGUCAGGGAAGAAACGGUGUUUUCUAAUACAGAACGCUAAUGACGGUACCUGAAGAAUAAGCACCGGCU
This 467-nucleotide ribosomal RNA is filed under the name uncultured bacterium. RNAcentral describes it as "bacterial SSU rRNA". It matches the Rfam family "Bacterial small subunit ribosomal RNA", at positions 34 to 498 of the family's 1533-position model. The record is from RNAcentral.